GCGGGGGAAUGUUCGGCCGCGCCCAGGCGUGAGUCUGGGUGAGGAAAGUCCGGGCACCGCAGGGCAGGGAUGCCAGCUAACGGCUGGUCGGCGAGUCAAGUACCCGCGGCGCGCGCCUGCGUGCGGGUGGCGGCGAAGCCGAAGGACAGUGCCACAGAAACCAGACCGCCACCUGCCGGCGUUUCAGUACGUAAAGCCCCGGCGCGGGCGGGCAGGUGGUCAGGGUGAAACGGUGCGGUAAGAGCGCACCAGACUCCCGGGAGACCGGGAGUGUCUGGUAAACCCCAUCCGGUGCAAGACCCGACAGUGCGCGAGGGUGGCCCGCCCUAUGACCGCCAGGAUGGUCGCUUGAGGCGCGCGGCGACGCGCGUCCCAGAGAGAUGGCCGAACAGUCACGAGAGUGACGGACAGAACCCGGCUUACAGUUCCCCCGCACCA
Non-coding RNA from Deinococcus sp. LM3, 438 nucleotides. The record is from Rfam. Lineage: Bacteria; Thermotogati; Deinococcota; Deinococci; Deinococcales; Deinococcaceae.